UCAUGCAGCCAUGGAGAGCCUUCCUCGUACCCUUUGUCUGUCAUGUUGAUCACAGUGGCUCAGUGAUGUUGACAUACACCAGCCUUCACUGUGCAACGCAACAGGUAGACCCUGCGACACUCAUGGAUGCCAGGUAGUGUGUGGAGUUCCAUGGCCAUGACCCUGAGUCUUGCCAACAACAUAGUCCUUUGAUGGUGGCGUCUACGCUAAGUUCCAUGCGAUCUGACCACGCUCCUUUCCAGCUAGUGUUUGGAACUGGUGUUGCUGAUGACUGAACAACCUUUGUCAGGCAGGUGUGAAGGCUGAGCAAUUGCCCAGCUGAAUCCCUCAAUGACUGCCUGGAAAGGACAUGUCCCCAUGACCACUGUGGCCUUUAUAAAGACACGGCCGAUUCUGAUAGGAGAUUGUGACUCAACCAAGAGAAAUACUAUGUGCCCUUCACCGAUACAUGGCAAGGACAUGCUGCCGUUUUAACAGCUCGCAUUCCCCUCUUCCACCUCAUCCAAGUUUUCUUUAUUGUCAAGGGUCACUGUCUUCAGUUUCGUUUUCCUUUCCUGGGUGCUCCGUCCUCCUAGCCAGGAGCAGUCAUCGCACCUGCGCUGAAUCUGCUUCCAGACACGGUUCCUGUCUUUGCUCCUUUGAAUACACGUGGACGAAAGAGGUUGUGCUCCCUGGACCAUCUGCCCAGAUCUGUGUUGGGGUGACGGUUCCCUCCUGCAGUCGGCUCCAGGUUCACUGUCCUUGGCAGCAGUUCUUCAGGAAAGUGACACGGGUCAUAAAGCCAUGGAGAGCCUUCCUCGUACCCUUUGUCUGUCAUGUUGAUCACAGUGGCUCAGUGAUGUUGACAUACACCAGCCUUCGCUGUGCAACCAACAUGUGGAUCCUGCGACACUCAUGGA
This is a long non-coding RNA of Talpa occidentalis (Iberian mole), 899 nucleotides long. RefSeq lists it as uncharacterized. Lineage: Eukaryota; Metazoa; Chordata; Mammalia; Eulipotyphla; Talpidae. The record is from RefSeq and is a predicted model, not a curated record. The transcript has 3 exons.